CCUGGUGGCUCAGAUGGUAAAGAAUCUGCCUGCAAUGCAGGAGACUCAGGUUCGAUCCCUGGGUCAGGA
RNAcentral lists this transfer RNA (69 nucleotides) under Bos taurus (domestic cattle). It matches the Rfam family "tRNA". From Rfam's summary of the family: Transfer RNA (tRNA) molecules are approximately 80 nucleotides in length. Their secondary structure includes four short double-helical elements and three loops (D, anti-codon, and T loops). RNAcentral also lists the same sequence under 4 other names. Lineage: Eukaryota; Metazoa; Chordata; Mammalia; Artiodactyla; Bovidae. The record is from Rfam by way of RNAcentral.